GACGAACGCUGGCGGCGUGCUUAACACAUGCAAGUCGAGCGAUGAAGUUUCUUCGGAAAUGGAUUAGCGGCGAACGGGUGAGGAACACGUGAAGAAUCUGCCCUCCACUUUGGGAUAACACCGGGAAACCGGUGCUAAUACCGAAUAUUGAAACAUAAGUGGCAUCACUGAGUUUUGAAAGAAUUUCGGUGGAGGAUGACUUCGCGGCCUAUCAGCUAGUUGGUGGGGUAAUGGCUCACCAAGGCAACGACGGGUAGCCGGCCUGAGAGGGCGACCGGCCACACUGGGACUGAGACACGGCCCAGACUCCUACGGGAGGCAGCAGUGGGGAAUAUUGGGCAAUGGAGGAAACUCUGACCCAGCGACGCCGCGUGCGGGAUGAAGGCCUUCGGGUUGUAAACCGCUUUCAGUAGGGAAGAGGCGAAAGUGACGGUACCUACAAAAGAAGCACCGGCUAACUAUGUGCCAGCAGCCGCCGUAA
Molecule: ribosomal RNA, 481 nt
Filed under: uncultured bacterium
Lineage: Bacteria
Description: partial 16S ribosomal RNA
Rfam family: Bacterial small subunit ribosomal RNA
Source: RNAcentral